This 253-nucleotide ribosomal RNA is filed under the name uncultured bacterium. RNAcentral's name for it is "partial 16S ribosomal RNA". It matches the Rfam family "Bacterial small subunit ribosomal RNA", at positions 524 to 776 of the family's 1533-position model. The record is from RNAcentral.
UACGGGGGGGGCAAGCGUUGUUCGGAAUUACUGGGCGUAGAGGGCGCGUAGGCGGCACUGUUAGUCAGGCGUGAAAGUCCUGGGCUCAACCUGGGAACUGCGCUUGAUACGGCAGAGCUAGAGGAUGGAAGAGGGUCGCGGAAUUCCCAGUGUAGAGGUGAAAUUCGUAGAUAUUGGGAAGAACACCGGUGGCGAAGGCGGCGACCUGGUCCAUUACUGACGCUGAGGCGCGACAGCGUGGGGAGCAAACAGG